RNAcentral lists this ribosomal RNA (392 nucleotides) under uncultured Gammaproteobacteria bacterium. RNAcentral describes it as "bacterial SSU rRNA". It matches the Rfam family "Bacterial small subunit ribosomal RNA", at positions 370 to 779 of the family's 1533-position model. Lineage: Bacteria; Pseudomonadati; Pseudomonadota; Gammaproteobacteria. The record is from RNAcentral.
AAUGGGCGCAAGCCUGAUCCAGCCAUGUCGCGUGAGUGAUGAAGGCCCUAGGGUCGUAAAGCUCUUUCGCCAGGGAUGAUAAUGACAGUACCUGGUAAAGAAACCCCGGCUAACUCCGUGCCAGCAGCCGCGGUAAUACGGAGGGGGUUAGCGUUGUUCGGAAUUACUGGGCGUAAAGCGCGCGUAGGCGGAUUAGUCAGUUAGAGGUGAAAUCCCAGGGCUCAACCCUGGAACUGCCUUUAAUACUGCUAGUCUUGAGUUCGAGAGAGGUGAGUGGAAUUCCGAGUGUAGAGGUGAAAUUCGUAGAUAUUCGGAGGAACACCAGUGGCGAAGGCGGCUCACUGGCUCGAUACUGACGCUGAGGUGCGAAAGUGUGGGGAGCAAACAGGAUU